AUUGAACGCUGGCGGAAUGCUUUACACAUGCAAGUCGAACGAUGAGACCUAGCUUGCUAGGUUGAUUAGUGGCGAACGGGUGAGUAAUGUAUCGGAACGUAUCCAAUAAUGGGGGAUAACUAAUCGAAAGGUUGGCUAAUACCGCAUACGCCCUACGGGGGAAAGCAGGGGAUCUUCGGACCUUGCGUUAAUGGAGCGGCCGAUAUCUGAUUAGCUAGUUGGUGAGGUAAAAGCUCACCAAGGCGACGAUCAGUAGCUGGUCUGAGAGGACGACCAGCCAAACUGGAACUGAGACACGGUCCAGACUCCUACGGGAGGCAGCAGUGGGGAAUUUUGGACAAUGGGCGAAAGCCUGAUCCAGCCAUUCCGCGUGAGUGAAGAAGGCCUUCGGGUUGUAAAGCUCUUUCGCAAGGGAAGAAACGAUGCAGUCGAAUAAACUGUGUUAAUGACGGUACCUUGAUAAGAAGCACCGGCUAACUACGUGCCAGCCGCCGCGGUAA
Molecule: ribosomal RNA, 500 nt
Filed under: uncultured bacterium
Lineage: Bacteria
Description: partial 16S ribosomal RNA
Rfam family: Bacterial small subunit ribosomal RNA
Source: RNAcentral